GGAGUUAGCCGGUGCUUCUUCUGUGAGUGAUGUCCUUCCUGCCGGCUAUUAACCCGCAGGCCUUCUUCCUCACUGAAAGUGCUUUACAACCCGAAGGCCUUCUUCACACACGCGGCAUGGCUGGAUCAGGGUUGCCCCCAUUGUCCAAUAUUCCCCACUGCUGCCUCCCGUAGGAGUCUGGGCCGUGUCUCAGUCCCAGUGUGGCUGAUCAUCCUCUCAGACCAGCUACGGAUCGUCGCCUUGGUGAGCCGUUACCUCACCAACCAGCUAAUCCGACAUAGGCUCAUCCGAUAGCGCGAGGCCCGAAGGUCCCCCGNUUUCCCCCGUAGGGAGUAUGCGGUAUUAGCCUGGGUUUCCCCAGGUUAUCCCCCACUACCGGGCAGAUUCCUAUGCAUUACUCACCCGUCCGCCGCUCGCCACCAGGGAGCAAGCUCCCCGUGCUGCCGCUCGACUUGCAUGUGUUAGGCCUGCCGCCAGCGUUCAAUCUGAGCCAGAAUCAAACUCUGA
Molecule: ribosomal RNA, 507 nt
Filed under: uncultured bacterium
Lineage: Bacteria
Description: partial 16S ribosomal RNA
Source: RNAcentral